RNAcentral lists this ribosomal RNA (964 nucleotides) under Salmonella enterica subsp. enterica serovar Virchow. Its description in RNAcentral is "partial 23S ribosomal RNA". It matches the Rfam family "Bacterial large subunit ribosomal RNA", at positions 1196 to 2141 of the family's 2925-position model. The record is from RNAcentral. Lineage: Bacteria; Pseudomonadati; Pseudomonadota; Gammaproteobacteria; Enterobacterales; Enterobacteriaceae.
GAAGCUGCGGCAGCGACGCUGAUGCGUUGUUGGGUAGGGGAGCGUUCUGUAAGCCUGUGAAGGUGGCCUGUGAGGGUUGCUGGAGGUAUCAGAAGUGCGAAUGCUGACAUAAGUAACGAUAAAGCGGGUGAAAAGCCCGCUCGCCGGAAGACCAAGGGUUCCUGUCCAACGUUAAUCGGGGCAGGGUGAGUCGACCCCUAAGGCGAGGCCGAAAGGCGUAGUCGAUGGGAAACGGGUUAAUAUUCCCGUACUUGGUGUUACUGCGAAGGGGGGACGGAGAAGGCUAUGUUGGCCGGGCGACGGUUGUCCCGGUUUAAGCGUGUAGGUGUGUGUUCCAGGUAAAUCCGGUUCACUUUAACACUGAGGCGUGACGACGAGGCACUACGGUGCUGAAGCAACAAAUGCCCUGCUUCCAGGAAAAGCCUCUAAGCAUCAGGUAACAUCAAAUCGUACCCCAAACCGACACAGGUGGUCAGGUAGAGAAUACCAAGGCGCUUGAGAGAACUCGGGUGAAGGAACUAGGCAAAAUGGUGCCGUAACUUCGGGAGAAGGCACGCUGACACGUAGGUGAAGUGAUUUACUCAUGGAGCUGAAGUCAGUCGAAGAUACCAGCUGGCUGCAACUGUUUAUUAAAAACACAGCACUGUGCAAACACGAAAGUGGACGUAUACGGUGUGACGCCUGCCCGGUGCCGGAAGGUUAAUUGAUGGGGUCAGCGCAAGCGAAGCUCCUGAUCGAAGCCCCGGUAAACGGCGGCCGUAACUAUAACGGUCCUAAGGUAGCGAAAUUCCUUGUCGGGUAAGUUCCGACCUGCACGAAUGGCGUAAUGAUGGCCAGGCUGUCUCCACCCGAGACUCAGUGAAAUUGAACUCGCUGUGAAGAUGCAGUGUACCCGCGGCAAGACGGAAAGACCCCGUGAACCUUUACUAUAGCUUGACACUGAACAUUGAGCCUUGAUGUGUAG